This is a long non-coding RNA of Papaver somniferum (opium poppy), 1378 nucleotides long. RefSeq lists it as uncharacterized. The transcript is spliced from 6 exons. Lineage: Eukaryota; Viridiplantae; Streptophyta; Magnoliopsida; Ranunculales; Papaveraceae. The record is from RefSeq and is a predicted model, not a curated record.
CGAUUUUGGUUCUUGUUUACUUCUUCGAACACAUAGAAAAAAAUCAUCCCUCCAACCACCGUCAUCUCCAUCGCUCCCACCACCAUUACCAUCCCAAUCACCUCCACUGCAACCAACAUCACCACCUUCGUCACGCCCGCCACUACUAUCAGAUAGUGAAUAAUAAUUUUUCGAUUUCAAAUCGAUUUCUGAUGAUUGCCGAAGGAGAUGGUGCAGUGGUGGUGGAGAAGGAUUAUUUGAAACUGUGGAGAUAUCGAAUGUAACAGCAAAUAAAAAUUAAUUUAGGGUUCCUCAAAUUUAAAUUCAAUCCCUCAGGUUUUAUUGAAGCUCAAAGAGUAAUGAUGAUGAUGUGGUGGUAGUGGUAGUGGUCGCGGUAAUGGAGGAGUGGAAGUACUGCUGGUGGUUGUUGUGAAGGUGUUGGUGGAUAAUUUUAGUGGAAGUGCUGAUGGUGGUUGUUGUGAAGGUGUUGUUGUGGAGGCCAAAGCACAACUAGUUGGAAUUCGUGAACGUAAACAAUGAUGGUGACGGACUCCAUCCCCCUAUAUCAUCUCAAAGAGACUCCACAAGUGUAGUUCAUGCGGAAGGCAAACGUGUGGUUACUGCAACCAAUCCAGAUGCCAAGGAUGCGGCAGAUAUAUUGAAGUACUUGUGUGUUCUUGUGAGAUGAGUUGGUUGCACAGUUGUUGGUUUUUAAACCUGUAUUAUCCAUCUUUUGAAAAUCUAUUCAAGUUACUGCAUCUCAACUUAUAAUUUCUAGGGAUUUUAGGUUACGAAGGAAAUGAUUUUAGGUUGUUUGUUGGUUGACAUGUUUGGUCGUUCUAUUGAUGAAUCUGAGGUGCAAUGGUAGCACAACUGACUAUAUGUCAGAAGAUGUUUAUUCGACUCAAGCCAGAGACUUUUCCAGCUGCAUUUGUAGUUGUUCCUAGUAAAGAUGGUGAUAAUUGACGUUGGUUUCUGAAUAUUUCGAAUGGAAUUCUCAAUAUUUUGAAUAGAAUUCUCAAUGUUUGGAGACCAAAUGUUGUUUGAUACCGCAGUUACCGUGAAGGGGUUCGCAAGAAUAGGAAGUGUGGUCGAUGUGAAUGCUUGCACAUCACAAUCAUCAAACAUGUCAGAGACCUCCAUUGGCUUCUCGUGCACUAACAUUCCGAAGGCGGGUGCAAACUUCAAAUAUCUGGAGGACUAUUUUCCGAAGCUUUUUAUGCUUCUGUCCGUCUUUGUUUUGAUUUUUUUUUCAGUCUUUUUUUUCCGAACUAGUGUGUUGCACUUGUUCUAAACAAUUUUGUUCCAGGUUUUUAUGAAUUGAAUUUUCUUUUUUGUUUUUGUUUUAUUGUUUUUCCAUGUAAGAUUGUCUAUUACAUCCUCUAUUAUUUUUUUGGUA